GGGCUUAAUCCAAGGCGCCAUAUUGCAAUUCCUUUCUGGGUUGCAACAGCUAUUACCUCAUAUGGCCUUCCAAUAUUUUGCGCCCACGCAACAGCAUAAACCUCGUCACCUUUGUCUGCAGUCAAAGCCAACUCUGCUACAGGAAGCCAUCUUUGGUGAGCCUGAUCAAAUUCCCAAACCUUGGCGGAAUUAAGCUGUGGUGUAUUCGAACUAAAAGCCAAAACAAAGCUUGAUUGUUG
This 239-nucleotide unclassified non-coding RNA is filed under the name Hevea brasiliensis (rubber tree). The record is from RNAcentral. Lineage: Eukaryota; Viridiplantae; Streptophyta; Magnoliopsida; Malpighiales; Euphorbiaceae.